This 506-nucleotide ribosomal RNA is filed under the name uncultured organism. Its description in RNAcentral is "bacterial SSU rRNA". It matches the Rfam family "Bacterial small subunit ribosomal RNA", at positions 926 to 1427 of the family's 1533-position model. The record is from RNAcentral.
CAAGCGGUGGAUCAUGUGCUUUAAUUCGACGCUACUCGAAGAACCUUACUUGGACUUGACAUCUCGGGAAUUCCGUUGAAAGACGGGAGUGCCUUUAACGAGGAAUCCGAUGACAGCUGCUGCAUGGCUGUCGUCAGCUCGUGUCGUGAGAUGUUGGGUUAAGUCCCGCUACGAGCGCAACCCCUAUCUUCUAGUCACCAUAAAGUNNNNNUGGGGGGUCUCCCCAUCCUGCCCCGGUCAACGGGGAGGNAGGCCGCGCUGACCCUCAAGUCCUCAUGGCCUUUAUGUCCAGGGCUACACACGUGCUACAAUGGUAUGUACAAAGGGAAGCGAUCCCGCGAGGAGGAGCUAAUCCCAAAAAGCAUAUCAAAGUUCGGAUCGGAGUCUGCAACUCGACUCCGUGAAGUCGGAAUCGCUAGUAAUCGCGGAUCAGCAUGCCGCGCUGAUGCGUUCCCGGGCAUUGUACACACCGCCCGUCACACCAUGAGAGUUGCUGUACCGGAAGU